GGGGUUGUGGCUUAGCGGUAGAGUGCUCGCCUUACAGGAUCGAGACUCUGGGUUCAAUCCUCAGCACCACA
RNAcentral lists this transfer RNA (71 nucleotides) under Marmota monax (woodchuck). Its description in RNAcentral is "tRNA.Val". The record is from RNAcentral. Lineage: Eukaryota; Metazoa; Chordata; Mammalia; Rodentia; Sciuridae.